GAUGAAGAACGUAGCGAAAUGCGAUAACUAAUGUGAAUUGCAGAAUUCAGUGAAUCAUCGAAUCUUUGAACGCACAUUGCGCCCGCCAGUAUUCUGGCGGGCAUGCCUGUUCGAGCGUCAUUUCAACCCUCAGGCCCCCAGUGCCUGGCGUUGGGGAUCGGCGCGGCGCCCUCCGGGGCGCUGCCGGCCCCGAAAUUCAGUGGCGGUCUCGCUGUAGCCCUCCUCCGCGUAGUAGCACAACCUCGCGGCCUGGAGCUCGGCGGUGGCCAUGCCGUAAAACACCCCACUUCUGAAAGUUGACCUCGGAUCAGGUAGGAAUACCCGCUGAACUUAAGCAUAUCAAUAAGCGGAGGA
This 354-nucleotide unclassified non-coding RNA is filed under the name soil metagenome. RNAcentral describes it as "partial contains 5.8S ribosomal RNA, internal transcribed spacer 2, and large subunit ribosomal RNA". The stretch from base 1 to 120 matches the Rfam family "5.8S ribosomal RNA", at positions 35 to 154 of the family's 154-position model. The record is from RNAcentral.